This 253-nucleotide ribosomal RNA is filed under the name uncultured bacterium. RNAcentral describes it as "partial 16S ribosomal RNA". It matches the Rfam family "Bacterial small subunit ribosomal RNA", at positions 524 to 776 of the family's 1533-position model. The record is from RNAcentral.
UACGUAGGUGGCAAGCGUUGUCCGGAAUUAUUGGGCGUAAAGCGCGCGCAGGCGGUCCUUUAAGUCUGAUGUGAAAGCCCACGGCUCAACCGUGGAGGGUCAUUGGAAACUGGGGGACUUGAGUACAGAAGAGGAAAGCGGAAUUCCACGUGUAGCGGUGAAAUGCGUAGAGAUGUGGAGGAACACCAGUGGCGAAGGCGGCUUUCUGGCCUGUAACUGACGCUGAGGCGCGAAAGCGUGGGGAGCAAACAGG